RNAcentral lists this ribosomal RNA (466 nucleotides) under uncultured bacterium. RNAcentral's name for it is "bacterial SSU rRNA". It matches the Rfam family "Bacterial small subunit ribosomal RNA", at positions 21 to 518 of the family's 1533-position model. The record is from RNAcentral.
GGUUCAGAACGAACGCUGGCGGCAGGUCUUAGGCAUGCAAGUCGAACGGAUGACAGAGAGCUUGCUCUCUGAAGUCAGUGGCGCACGAGUGAGUAACGCGUGGGAAACUGCCCUUCACUGGGGAAUAACGUUUGGAAACGAACGCUAAUACCGCAUACACCCGCAAGGGGAAAGAUUUAUCGGUGAUGGAUGUGCCCGCGUUGGAUUAGCUAGUUGGUGGGGUAAUGGCCUACCAAGGCGAUGAUCCAUAGCUGGUCUGAGAGGACGAUCAGCCACGCUGGAACUGAGACACGGUCCAGACUCCUACGGGAGGCAGCAGCUAAGAAUAUUGGGCAAUGGAGGAAACUCUGACCCAGCCCAUGCCGCGUGAAUGAAGAAGGCCUUCGGGUUGUAAAGUUCUUUUAGUCAUGAAGAUGAUGACAGUAGUGACAGAAAAAGCACCGGCUAACUUCGUGCCAGCCGCUGC